This is a long non-coding RNA of Zalophus californianus (California sea lion), 648 nucleotides long. RefSeq lists it as uncharacterized. The transcript has 3 exons. The record is from RefSeq and is a predicted model, not a curated record. Lineage: Eukaryota; Metazoa; Chordata; Mammalia; Carnivora; Otariidae.
AGAGAAUCAGCAGUGGGGCAUCUGGAAAUGUGUAAGGGGGUUCUGAGUAGUCACAAUGACUGGCAUUCUGUGGGCCAGAACCAGAGGUAUAUGACUGCAGUUCUUGAGAAAGUCCCAUACAAAGAAGUGUCUUGACUAAAAUGCCAGAGCAUUCCCAUCAGGGAACACUGGACUACAAGCUGAGAAAAGAAAGACUUGUAUUUUGCAGUGGUGACCAAGGAUGCAGGACAACAGCUAAUGAAGACCAGUCCGGCUAUGUAAGUACGUCUAGUGAAAACCUGUACUGGAAAAGAGCAAUGGAUUAUAGUAAAAUAUUCCAGUGUUCUGUCCUGACCCUGCCACUGAACUGCUGUGAACUUUGAGAGUCUCCAGUUUGGAAGAUAAAUAUGAAGUACCAAUUCAAUAACUGUGAAAUUCUAGUACUUCUUAUAAAGAUCUAAUUGUAUCUUCAGCUUUCAAAAAAAUGCUAUUCAUCUUCUCAAACAGCACUAGCUUAUAAGUAACUCUGCUCAUACCUCUAAUGGAACAUAACCUUUGUAACCAACCAAAAUGUUCAGUAAGGCUAGGAAGUUUUAAAAUGUAACAGAAGGGCGCCUGGGUGGCUCAGUUGGUUAAGAGACUGCCUUCUGCUCAGGUCAUGAUCCUGGA